This 497-nucleotide ribosomal RNA is filed under the name uncultured bacterium. RNAcentral's name for it is "partial 16S ribosomal RNA". It matches the Rfam family "Bacterial small subunit ribosomal RNA", at positions 28 to 507 of the family's 1533-position model. The record is from RNAcentral.
GAUGAACGCUGGCGGCGUGCCUAAUACAUGCAAGUCGAGCGAACAGAUGAGGAGCUUGCUCCUCUGACGUUAGCGGCAGACGGGUGAGUAACACGUGGAUAACCUACCUAUAAGACUGGGAUAACUUCGGGAAACCGGAGCUAAUACCGGAUAAUAUAUUGAACCGCAUGGUUCAAUAGUGAAAGACGGUUUUGCGGUCACUUCUAGAUGGAUCCGCGCCGCAUUAGCUAGUUGGUAAGGUAACGGCUUACCAAGGCAACGAUGCGUAGCCGACCUGAGAGGGUGAUCGGCCACACUGGAACUGAGACACGGUCCAGACUCCUACGGGAGGCAGCAGUAGGGAAUCUUCCGCAAUGGGCGAAAGCCUGACGGAGCAACGCCGCGUGAGUGAUGAAGGUCUUCGGAUCGUAAAACUCUGUUAUUAGGGAAGAACAAAUGUGUAAGUAACUAUGCACGUCUUGACGGUACCUAAUCAGAAAGCCACGGCUAACUACGUG